GCAAAAUAAAAAAUUAGUCUUACAACUAUCAACUGUAUGAACACAUUACAAUUACAAUAGUCAAAUCUAAGAAAGAUAAUAUAAAAUGAAAAUGAAAAUGAAAGAAUCAAUAAUUAUAAGCUGUCUAUUUCCUUUACAUUCAACUUUUGGCUAACUUGAGAGCGAAAGGACAUGUGGGAUUGUGGGUCUUCAAAUGGUAAACCCUACCCACCUCCCUCAUAACUAUUACAAGCUCCUAUUUCGGUGCCACCAUGACCAUGACCUAUUUUCGGGUUUGAUUUUCCGAACCAGUAUAAGUUGAAAGCACAUCUAACUCUUCAGUAAUUCAACUUGUUCAUAUUUCAUACUGGUUUAGAAGUUAUACGAUGUGAAAUCUAUCUCCUUUGGUGAUACUCAUGUGCUGUGUACUAUUGUCUUUUAUAUUAUGUGCAGUUCUCUUUUGUCUGGUGAUCAAACACCGCACCACCCAAAUUUGCUAGGCCUUCUAUGGUAAUAACCGUGAUGAAGCACCUAUUUUGCUUUUGAGUGGAAAGUAAUUCGUAGACAUUUGUAUAAUACAGACAUUCAAUAUACAUCUAAAGUGAGAAAGAUAAAAUCAGUAAUAAACAUGAUAUGUGGCUAUUACAUCACUCAAAAUAUUCAGUAUAAUAUUUAUAUCUCACAACCUCAACCCAUGCUCAACCUUGCCCCCAUUGUUGUGACUCGUCUCUUUCGACCCUCAAGUUGUGACUCUCUCGACCCUCACGGCUCACACAGCCUUGGCGUUGUUGGUGGUUGUGCACUAUCUUUGUUCUUGGCCUUGCUCUUGGUUGAUGUAUUCCAUUCAUCUCCCUAUUGGAGUUCAAUGUCGCUGCUCAGUUCAACACAAAAGAACGGAUGUAAGUGGUAGUGUAUGAGGACAAGUGCCCUCACUUGAUUUUGGAAAAAAUCAUUAGAAAAAAAAUUUAAGUAGUAAAAAUUUGUGUUUUUGAUUGUCCCUUUGAUAAAAAAAAUCACUUGUGUCUCACAUUACUAAAUGCUCUCACUUGUGUCUCAUAUUGCUAAGGGAUAACUAUCAUAUUAGUCCCUGUCUUUGUCUCACCGUCUGAGGUAAGUCCCUC
This 1100-nucleotide long non-coding RNA is filed under the name Lotus japonicus. Its description in RNAcentral is "long non-coding RNA (LJAP_LNC000187)". Lineage: Eukaryota; Viridiplantae; Streptophyta; Magnoliopsida; Fabales; Fabaceae. The record is from RNAcentral.